This 3028-nucleotide ribosomal RNA is filed under the name Salmonella enterica subsp. enterica serovar Infantis. RNAcentral's name for it is "LSU rRNA". It matches the Rfam family "Bacterial large subunit ribosomal RNA". Lineage: Bacteria; Pseudomonadati; Pseudomonadota; Gammaproteobacteria; Enterobacterales; Enterobacteriaceae. The record is from RNAcentral.
GGUUAAGCGACUAAGCGUACACGGUGGAUGCCCUGGCAGUCAGAGGCGAUGAAGGGCGUGCUAAUCUGCGAUAAGCGCCGGUAAGGUGAUAUGAACCGUUAUAACCGGCGAUACCCGAAUGGGGAAACCCAGUGUGAUUCGUCACACUAUCAUUAACUGAAUCCAUAGGUUAAUGAGGCGAACCGGGGGAACUGAAACAUCUAAGUACCCCGAGGAAAAGAAAUCAACCGAGAUUCCCCCAGUAGCGGCGAGCGAACGGGGAGGAGCCCAGAGCCUGAAUCAGCAUGUGUGUUAGUGGAAGCGUCUGGAAAGGCGCGCGAUACAGGGUGACAGCCCCGUACACAAAAGCGCAUGUGCUGUGAGCUCGAUGAGUAGGGCGGGACACGUGGUAUCCUGUCUGAAUAUGGGGGGACCAUCCUCCAAGGCUAAAUACUCCUGACUGACCGAUAGUGAACCAGUACCGUGAGGGAAAGGCGAAAAGAACCCCGGCGAGGGGAGUGAAAAAGAACCUGAAACCGUGUACGUACAAGCAGUGGGAGCCCCACCACCAAAGCAUUCUCUGGUGUUGAAGGCCCUGCAAAGCAGCAUCGCGGUGGCGGAGCGUCGUUUGCGACGCCCAACACACAAAACAAGCGGUGAGUGCUUUGGGGUGGGGUGACUGCGUACCUUUUGUAUAAUGGGUCAGCGACUUAUAUUCUGUAGCAAGGUUAACCGAAUAGGGGAGCCGGAGGGAAACCGAGUCUUAAUUGGGCGUUAAGUUGCAGGGUAUAGACCCGAAACCCGGUGAUCUAGCCAUGGGCAGGUUGAAGGUUGGGUAACACUAACUGGAGGACCGAACCGACUAAUGUUGAAAAAUUAGCGGAUGACCUGUGGCUGGGGGUGAAAGGCCAAUCAAACCGGGAGAUAGCUGGUUCUCCCCGAAAGCUAUUUAGGUAGCGCCUCGUGAAUUCAUCUCCGGGGGUAGAGCACUGUUUCGGCUAGGGGGCCAUCCCGGCUUACCAACCCGAUGCAAACUGCGAAUACCGGAGAAUGUUAUCACGGGAGACACACGGCGGGUGCUAACGUCCGUCGUGAAGAGGGAAACAACCCAGACCGCCAGCUAAGGUCCCAAAGUCAUGGUUAAGUGGGAAACGAUGUGGGAAGGCCCAGACAGCCAGGAUGUUGGCUUAGAAGCAGCCAUCAUUUAAAGAAAGCGUAAUAGCUCACUGGUCGAGUCGGCCUGCGCGGAAGAUGUAACGGGGCUAAACCAUGCACCGAAGCUGCGGCAGCGACACUCAGGUGUUGUUGGGUAGGGGAGCGUUCUGUAAGCCUGCGAAGGUGGCCUGUGAGGGUUGCUGGAGGUAUCAGAAGUGCGAAUGCUGACAUAAGUAACGAUAAAGCGGGUGAAAAGCCCGCUCGCCGGAAGACCAAGGGUUCCUGUCCAACGUUAAUCGGGGCAGGGUGAGUCGACCCCUAAGGCGAGGCCGAAAGGCGUAGUCGAUGGGAAACGGGUUAAUAUUCCCGUACUUGGUGUUACUGCGAAGGGGGGACGGAGAAGGCUAUGUUGGCCGGGCGACGGUUGUCCCGGUUUAAGCGUGUAGGUGUGUGUUCCAGGUAAAUCCGGUUCACUUUAACACUGAGGCGUGAUGACGAGGCACUACGGUGCUGAAGCAACAAAUGCCCUGCUUCCAGGAAAAGCCUCUAAGCAUCAGGUAACAUCAAAUCGUACCCCAAACCGACACAGGUGGUCAGGUAGAGAAUACCAAGGCGCUUGAGAGAACUCGGGUGAAGGAACUAGGCAAAAUGGUGCCGUAACUUCGGGAGAAGGCACGCUGACACGUAGGUGAAGUGAUUUACUCAUGGAGCUGAAGUCAGUCGAAGAUACCAGCUGGCUGCAACUGUUUAUUAAAAACACAGCACUGUGCAAACACGAAAGUGGACGUAUACGGUGUGACGCCUGCCCGGUGCCGGAAGGUUAAUUGAUGGGGUCAGCGCAAGCGAAGCUCCUGAUCGAAGCCCCGGUAAACGGCGGCCGUAACUAUAACGGUCCUAAGGUAGCGAAAUUCCUUGUCGGGUAAGUUCCGACCUGCACGAAUGGCGUAAUGAUGGCCAGGCUGUCUCCACCCGAGACUCAGUGAAAUUGAACUCGCUGUGAAGAUGCAGUGUACCCGCGGCAAGACGGAAAGACCCCGUGAACCUUUACUAUAGCUUGACACUGAACAUUGAGCCUUGAUGUGUAGGAUAGGUGGGAGGCUUUGAAGUGUGGACGCCAGUCUGCAUGGAGCCGACCUUGAAAUACCACCCUUUAAUGUUUGAUGUUCUAACGUGGACCCGUAAUCCGGGUUGCGGACAGUGUCUGGUGGGUAGUUUGACUGGGGCGGUCUCCUCCUAAAGAGUAACGGAGGAGCACGAAGGUUGGCUAAUCCUGGUCGGACAUCAGGAGGUUAGUGCAAUGGCAUAAGCCAGCUUGACUGCGAGCGUGACGGCGCGAGCAGGUGCGAAAGCAGGUCAUAGUGAUCCGGUGGUUCUGAAUGGAAGGGCCAUCGCUCAACGGAUAAAAGGUACUCCGGGGAUAACAGGCUGAUACCGCCCAAGAGUUCAUAUCGACGGCGGUGUUUGGCACCUCGAUGUCGGCUCAUCACAUCCUGGGGCUGAAGUAGGUCCCAAGGGUAUGGCUGUUCGCCAUUUAAAGUGGUACGCGAGCUGGGUUUAGAACGUCGUGAGACAGUUCGGUCCCUAUCUGCCGUGGGCGCUGGAGAACUGAGGGGGGCUGCUCCUAGUACGAGAGGACCGGAGUGGACGCAUCACUGGUGUUCGGGUUGUCAUGCCAAUGGCACUGCCCGGUAGCUAAAUGCGGAAGAGAUAAGUGCUGAAAGCAUCUAAGCACGAAACUUGCCCCGAGAUGAGUUCUCCCUGAGACUUUAAGUCUCCUGAAGGAACGUUGAAGACGACGACGUUGAUAGGCCGGGUGUGUAAGCGCAGCGAUGCGUUGAGCUAACCGGUACUAAUGAACCGUGAGGCUUAACCUUACAACGCCGAAGAUGUUUUG